CCUACGGGUGGCUGCAGUGAGGAAUAUUGGUCAAUGGACGAGAGUCUGAACCAGCCAAGUAGCGUGAAGGCUGACUGCCCUAUGGGUUGUAAACUUCUUUUAUAUGGGAAUAAAACGUUCCACGUGUGGGAUUUUGUAUGUACCAUAUGAAUAAGGAUAGGCUAACUCCGUGCCAGCAGCCGCGGUAAUACGGAGGAUCCGAGCGUUAUACGGAUUUAUUGGGUUUAAAGGGAGCGUAGGUGGAUUGUUAGGUCAGUUGUGAAAGUUUGCGGCUCAACCGUAAAAUUGCAGUUGAAACUGGCAGUCUUGAGUACAGUAGAGGUGGGCGGAAUUCGUGGUGUAGCGGUGAAAUGCUUAGAUAUCACGAAGAACUCCGAUUGCGAAGGCAGUUCACUGGACCGCAACUGACACUGAGGCUCGAAAGUGUGGGUAUCAAACAGGAUUAGAUACCCCUGUAGUC
Molecule: ribosomal RNA, 460 nt
Filed under: uncultured bacterium
Lineage: Bacteria
Description: partial 16S ribosomal RNA
Rfam family: Bacterial small subunit ribosomal RNA
Source: RNAcentral